Molecule: transfer RNA, 94 nt
Filed under: Actinoplanes auranticolor
Lineage: Bacteria; Bacillati; Actinomycetota; Actinomycetes; Micromonosporales; Micromonosporaceae
Description: tRNA-Gly
Source: RNAcentral
GUCCCGCGUGGUCGAGGGCACGUCUCCGCCCUCCCGGGACCGGCGGGGCGGCGCUUCGGCCGGUGCCUCCGCGGGUCCCGCCGCGAUCGGGGCA